This 492-nucleotide ribosomal RNA is filed under the name uncultured bacterium. RNAcentral's name for it is "partial 16S ribosomal RNA". It matches the Rfam family "Bacterial small subunit ribosomal RNA", at positions 29 to 507 of the family's 1533-position model. The record is from RNAcentral.
AGUGAACGCUGGCGGUAGGCCUAACACAUGCAAGUCGAACGGCAGCACAGUAAGAGCUUGCUUUUACGGGUGGCGAGUGGCGGACGGGUGAGGAAUACAUCGGAAUCUACUUUUUCGUGGGGGAUAACGUAGGGAAACUUAUGCUACUACCGCAUACUAUCUACGGCAGAAAGCAGAGGAUCUUCGCACUUUUCGCGCUUGAACUAGCUGAUUUCGGAUUAGCUAGUUUGCGGGGUAAAGGCCCACCAAGGCUAGGAUGCGUAGCUGAUCUGAGAGGAUGGUCGGCCACACUGGAGCUGAGACACGGUCCAGACUCCUACGGUAGGCAGCAGUGGGGAAUGUUGGGCAAGGGGCGAAAGCCUGAUCCAGCGAUACCGCGUGAGUUAGGAAAGGCUUCGGUUUGGGAAGCCCUUUUGUUGGGAAAGAAGAGCUGUAUGAUAAGUUGCCGCUUUUGUUACGGUACCGAAGCAAUAAGCACCGGCUAACUUCGUG